CUACUUCUCCAUUGAUAGAUAGACAGAGAACAGAAAGAGAGAGAGAGAGAAACAGUGUGUGUUUAUGUAGCAAGGAGUAUAAUAUGGCCAAAUCAAAGUACUCCUCUAUAGUGCAGCUGCAUUUAAGAAAACCAAAUGAGAGGCCUCUCUAUGCUCACUUUCGCCUAUAAAUACUGCUUGGCCAAUCUCUCUUUCCCCCACAAGCACAGAGAAACACAGCCUUUACAUAAUAGUCAUAUUCGUUCCAACACCACCAUUUGAUUUUCUGCAGCUGCAAAAAAGUCUUGAGAGAGAAAAAUCAUCGUCAGUUCAUCACAAGAGACUACUAAAAGUAAGAUCUUUAUGUCCCUUUUCUUUAAUUUGUGGUUAUUUGCUUUGAGAAUUAGUAGUGUUAAGCAGUGAUUAAGCUUUGCUUGUGUUCAUGGAAUGAUAUGGAUGGGCAGGCAGGGCAGGUGAUUUUGGUUGAGCGACGGUGACUGUCACGGCGGCGUGAUGAGCAGGGGGAACG
RNAcentral lists this long non-coding RNA (508 nucleotides) under Oryza brachyantha (malo sina). Its description in RNAcentral is "long non-coding RNA (OBRA_LNC000514)". The record is from RNAcentral. Lineage: Eukaryota; Viridiplantae; Streptophyta; Magnoliopsida; Poales; Poaceae.